This 451-nucleotide ribosomal RNA is filed under the name Gasteracantha kuhlii (black-and-white shiny spider). Its description in RNAcentral is "partial 16S ribosomal RNA". It matches the Rfam family "Bacterial large subunit ribosomal RNA", at positions 1827 to 2604 of the family's 2925-position model. The record is from RNAcentral. Lineage: Eukaryota; Metazoa; Arthropoda; Arachnida; Araneae; Araneidae.
CAUCUCUUAACGAAAUAUUGUUAAGUAUCACCUGCUCAAUGAAUUUUUUAAUAGCCGCAGAAAUUUAACUGUGCUAAGGUAGCAUAAUCAUUAGCUCUUUAAUUAAGGGCUCGUAUGAAUGGUUUAACAUUUUAUAUACUAUUAUAUUUUAAAUAAAUUAAAAUUUAAUUAAGAAUAAAAAUGUUCUUAUAAUAAAAAAAGACGAUAAGACCCUAUUGAACUUUACUUUAGUUUAACUGGGGCAGUUAACUAAUAAUAAUCUUACUUACUAUUUUUUUAUAAAUACCCAAUUAAUUUGAUUUGAAUAAGUUACCAUAGGGAUAACAGCGUAAUUUGUUUCUAAAGCUCUUAUUUAAAAACAAGAUUGCGACCUCGAUGUUGAAUUAAUGAUCCUUCUUAAAUGCAACAAUUUAUAAAGUAGGUCUGUUCGACCUUUAAAUCAUUACAUGAU